UACGUAGGUCGCAAGCGUUGUCCGGAUUUACUGGGCGUAAAGAGCGCGCAGGCGGCUGGUCAAGUCCGAUGUGAAAUCUCCCGGCUCAACUGGGAAACUGCAUCGGAAACUGAUCGGCUUGAAGAUGGGAGAGGGUAGUGGAAUUCCCGGUGUAGUGGUGAAAUGCGUAGAUAUCUGGAGGAACACCGGUGGCGAAGGCGGCAUCCUGGACCGGCAUUGACGCUGAGGCGCGAAAGCCAGGGGAGCAAACGGG
Molecule: ribosomal RNA, 253 nt
Filed under: uncultured bacterium
Lineage: Bacteria
Description: partial 16S ribosomal RNA
Rfam family: Bacterial small subunit ribosomal RNA
Source: RNAcentral